AUUGAACGCUGGCGGCAGGCUUAACACAUGCAAGUCGAGCGGGGUGAUGGUGCUUGCACUAUCACUUAGCGGCGGACGGGUGAGUAAUGCUUAGGAAUCUGCCUAUUAGUGGGGGACAACAUCUCGAAAGGGAUGCUAAUACCGCAUACGUCCUACGGGAGAAAGCAGGGGAUCACUUGUGACCUUGCGCUAAUAGAUGAGCCUAAGUCGGAUUAGCUAGUUGGUGGGGUAAAGGCCUACCAAGGCGACGAUCUGUAGCGGGUCUGGGAGGAUGAUCCCCCAAACGGGGACUGAGACACGGCCAAGACUCCGACGGGAGGCAGCAGUGGGGGAUAGUGGACAAUGGGGGGAACCCUGAUCCAGCCAUGCCGCGUGUGUGAAGAAGGCCUUAUGGUUGUAAAGCACUUUAAGCGAGGAGGAGGCUCUUUUGGUUAAUACCCAAGAUGAGUGGACGUUACUCGCAGAAUAAGCACCGGCUAACUCUGUGCCAGCAGCCGCGGUAA
RNAcentral lists this ribosomal RNA (503 nucleotides) under uncultured bacterium. RNAcentral's name for it is "partial 16S ribosomal RNA". It matches the Rfam family "Bacterial small subunit ribosomal RNA", at positions 30 to 523 of the family's 1533-position model. The record is from RNAcentral.